This 449-nucleotide ribosomal RNA is filed under the name uncultured rumen bacterium. RNAcentral describes it as "bacterial SSU rRNA". It matches the Rfam family "Bacterial small subunit ribosomal RNA", at positions 37 to 460 of the family's 1533-position model. The record is from RNAcentral.
UGUAACGUGGUUACAGGCCUAACACAUGCAAGUCGAGGGCUAGUUUGAACUUAGCUUGCUAAGUUUGAUGGCGACCGGCGCACGGGUGAGUAACGCGUAUCCAACCUUCCCCCCUACUAGGGCAUAGCCCGGCGAAAGUCGGAUUAAUACCCUAUGUUCUUCGUAGAGGCCAUCUGAAAUGAAGCAAAGGUUUACCGCUAGGGGAUGGGGAUGCGUACGAUUAGCUGGUUGGCGGGGUAACGGCCCACCAAGGCGACGAUCGUUAGGUGUGUUCUGAGAGGAAGGUCCCCCACACUGGUACUGAGACACGGACCAGACUCCUACGGGAGGCAGCAGUGAGGAAUAUUGGUCAAUGUUUCGCCGAGCAUCAAGUAUCCCAGCCAAGUAGCGUGCAGGAUGACGGCCCUAUGGGUUGUAAACUGCUUCUUAUGCGGGUAUUAAGUGAGCCA